RNAcentral lists this ribosomal RNA (444 nucleotides) under Aleiodes sp. MRS643. RNAcentral's name for it is "LSU rRNA". The record is from RNAcentral. Lineage: Eukaryota; Metazoa; Arthropoda; Insecta; Hymenoptera; Braconidae.
CCUGAGAAACCCAAAAGAUCGAAUGGGGAGAUUCAUCGUCAGCUCAUUUUGUAUAUGUAUAAGUUAUGAUGCGGGUUACUACUUGUAGUAUUGCCUGCACAUUCUUGUAUAUUUAGUUGCAAGAUGUUGUCGGCGUGCACUUCUCCCCUAGUAGGACGUCGCGACCUGUUGGGUGUCGGUCUACGGCCCAAGUGAUAGCCUUUAAUGUAAUUUAAAAAACAUUGAAGAUCCUUGGUGUUUUCUGACCGGCUACUUGGCAGUAUUCGUACGGUAUUUAGCCGCUAAAUUUAUUAAGCGUCCAUAUCCAUCACAAGCGAGGCUAAUUUACUGAUAGUACGGACCUAGUGCCGUCGUUGGUAUUGGCCAGCUGUUGGUUGAUGGUAUUCUAGGACUGGCUAAAAUUAAUUACCGGUCGGCGAUGCUACUGCUUUGGGUACUUUCAGG